CCUACGGGAGGCAGCAGUAGGGAAUCUUCCACAAUGGACGAAAGUCUGACGGAGCAACGCCGCGUGAGUGAAGAAGGGUUUCGGCUCGUAAAGCUCUGUUGGUAGUGAAGAAAGAUAGAGGUAGUAACUGGCCUUUAUUUGACGGUAAUUAAUUAGAAAGUCACGGCUAACUACGUGCCAGCAGCCGCGGUAAUACGUAGGUGGCAAGCGUUGUCCGGAUUUAUUGGGCGUAAAGCGAGUGCAGGCGGGUCAAUAAGGCAGAUGUUAAAGCCUUCGGCUCAACCGGAGAAUUGCAUCAGAAACUGUUGAACUUGAGUACAGAAGAGGAGAGUGGAACUCCAUGUGUAGCGGUGGAAUGCGUAGAUAUAUGGAAGAACACCAGUGGCGAAGGCGGCUUUCUGGUCUGCAACUGACGCUGAGGCUCGAAAGCAUGGGUAGCGAACAGGAUUAGAUACCCCUGUAGUC
Molecule: ribosomal RNA, 465 nt
Filed under: uncultured bacterium
Lineage: Bacteria
Description: partial 16S ribosomal RNA
Rfam family: Bacterial small subunit ribosomal RNA
Source: RNAcentral